UCAGAAGAAGCUGGAAGAAGAUGUAGUAAACUUCCCAAGGCACACACAGGGCACUCGAGUGGAAGGAGGCACUGAACAACCAGCAAGAUGCGAUUUAGACGAGAAGCAAAAACAAACCCAGGCAGCAGCUCCGGAAGUUUCAGAACAGUUAAGACAGACUGGUUUUGCUUCAAUAAAAACUCAGAUGGAGCUCAGAAUUAGCAAUCUGGAAUCUGAGCUGAAAACUAAGAAAUACAACUAGAAAAAUAUAGACACUUCCAUAUAGAUGAAUCCAAGUUCCACAAAAUUUGAAUCUUGAUCCACUGGAGCUUCUGCUUUAAGAAUUACUAAUAAACCAAGACAAGAUCUAUUUUUGGAAACA
RNAcentral lists this long non-coding RNA (361 nucleotides) under Urocitellus parryii (Arctic ground squirrel). RNAcentral describes it as "lncRNA (ENSUPAG00010005092.1)". The record is from RNAcentral. Lineage: Eukaryota; Metazoa; Chordata; Mammalia; Rodentia; Sciuridae.